This is a long non-coding RNA of Gymnogyps californianus (California condor), 454 nucleotides long. RefSeq lists it as uncharacterized. The transcript has 3 exons. NCBI's taxonomy places the organism in Eukaryota, Metazoa, Chordata, Aves, Accipitriformes, Cathartidae. The record is from RefSeq and is a predicted model, not a curated record.
GAAUAAAGGGGUGAAUUGAGGAGUAUCCCUUCUUUCCUCCUGCUCUCUCACCUGAGAAGAUAGCACUGGAUGUUCCCAGCAGCCUCGCAAAGUUCAUGGGUUUAUGGAAACCUCUGCACUACCACAUGAAUAGGAGGGAACACAGAUGACAGGAGAAUAGAAGGCUGCUGGUUUGCAAGGAGCAAUGUUUAGAGGAUGUGUCCUGGGCCAGGACCCAAAUGCAUGGCAAUAGUUUGCUGAGGCUCUGCUAGCAAGCCGGGAAUGACUGUGAUGCCCUCUGUGCCAUUCUGGAUGACAGAAGAUUUAUGCCUGGGCCACUUGAAGACAGCUGCCUAAAGCGCUGCAAGUCCAGGCAGAAAGCUACACCUUCAAGGUAACCUCUUCAUCUGGCUGUUUCCCCUGCUGUCUCCCUGGCUGUAUGUUGUUAACCUAAAGAUCAUUAGAGAUAGUUGCA